Dromaius novaehollandiae (emu) is the source of this 1844-nucleotide long non-coding RNA. RefSeq lists it as uncharacterized. The transcript has 2 exons. The record is from RefSeq and is a predicted model, not a curated record. Lineage: Eukaryota; Metazoa; Chordata; Aves; Casuariiformes; Dromaiidae.
UAAGGGAGUUACCAGCAGUUUGCAUUCCUGUGCACUGCUGAAACAGUGUUAAUUGCUGGAAUUACCACCUCUUUGUCAGGACCUUGAGAGAUGAUGGCGGGACCCGAGGAAUGAAGACACACCUGUUGGCAGAAACCGCAACAGUAAAGAUAAGGGAGAAAAAACCCAGCCUGCCUAGGAACAACAAUGAGACCCAAUAAGGAGCAGGAGACCCCAGACCCAAAAAUUACUAUUGGUCUGAACUACCACAUGAGAGGUUUGAAAAAGCUAUAAUUGCCCAGGGAUUUCUUUGUUCGGGGUCCUUCUUCGGAGGCACCCAACUCAAGCUGUAACUACUGCAUGCGUGUCAUUGCCUUGAUUUGGCUCUGAACUUUUCAGCGGGAACCUAGGGUCAGACCCUGCUUGAGUUGUGAUUACUGCACGCGCAUCGCUAAAACUUACACCCAGGGUGAAGAGGACCCACCCACCACCAAGACUCCCAAAGGAAGAGGACGACAGGAUGCUGCUGGAUCCAUGGGUGGUGAUCUCUCUCUCUCUCUCUCUCUCUCUGUGUUUUUCUCUCUCUUCUGUUGAAUGUUGGUAAGAUCUGUUCAAAAUGUGUGGCAUGGGACUUGUCUAGCUAGUUGAAGUAACCACCAUUGAAUUAUCCUAUUUGACCACAUGCCUUAUCUUUGUGUUAAUAAAUCAUAAAACUGGUUGGCUGGUGUCGUUUCACCUUAAUUCAGUCCAAGCGCAUCACGAACUUGGUCAUUGGUCCCAAGGGGAGGGAGGUCAUCCUAAAUAUCUCGUUUCAGGCCGUGACAGGUGGUAAGCAAAAUUCUCUGCUCAGAUAAUCCACCCCUCGUUUCUCUAUGAUUUACCCAACAGUUAGCAUUUUGGAGUUGUUUUACUCCCACUUCAGAAGAUUCAGAAGACCUGGUUUAGAUCUCCUUUCAUAUGUGCAGCUGUUUCUUUUAGGAAGACUGGAUGACUUUUUUAAGAUAACGGAGUCCACAGAUGAGAGAGUGGCUGUGAAUAUCCUCACCUCAGAAAAAACUUCCACUGGAGUCUGCACUUUCCUAGACACCUGAGAAUCUAAGCAUGAGCAGCAGAGCCAGAAGAAGCCAAGCCUCACUGAGUCCUUGAGCAGCAUUUCCUUGUUUCUUCUUUGCGACAUGGUGUGCUGAAACUGAAUGUAAUGGCCAAGGCAAAAAUAGGUCAUACUAUCUACUAAUAUAGUAUCACAGGAUUAUAGUGUUUUCUUUAUUGUUUUUUAAACUAUUUUUCACAAAGACUGAUGCUUUCUUCCUUUUUUCAACCACCACUGCACAGUCAGCAGCUGGUUUCCUUGAGCUGUCCCUAAUGGUGCCUGAUGUGUUCUGAGAUGUUUAAAAGUAAUUCAAAACCUACCCAUGUGCAUGAGUAGUCUGUAGGGUUCUGUACAUAUCAUUUUUCUCCUGCUUGUGUUGAAUUUCGUCCUCUAUUUCAGUUUUCUUCAUUUUUUUCACUCUCUGCAAUUCCUCAUGUUUCUCCAUUUGACCCACCUACCUAAUUUUAUAUGGCACAAAUUUUGUCACCUUUGCUAUUCACCCUGAUCUUCAAAUCAUUAAUAAAUACCCCAAGCAUACAUCUUACUUUUAAUCCCUGGGGCACCCUACCUGUAACCCCUCUCCAUGCUGAGAUGGGUCAUUUGUUCCUACUCUUUGUUUCCACUCUCUCAAAUGUGUCUUUUUUUCCCCUUCUAUCUAUGCAGGACUCUACCUCUCACCUUGUGGUUACUAAGUUUCCUUUAUAGGCUCUUCUCAUGAACUUUAUCAAAAGCCUUUUGAAAGUCUAAAUAAAAAGUAGCCAUUGGUUGUCCUUUA